GAUCUUGCGACAAUGGGCGAAAGCCUGACGCAGCAACGCCGCGUGCGGGAGGACGGCCUUCGGGUUGUAAACCGCUUUUCGGGGGGACGAGGAAGGACGGUACCCACGGAAGAAUCCCCGGCUAACUACGUUCCAGCAGCCGCGGUAAUACGUAGGGGGCAAGCGUUAUCCGGAUUUACUGGGUGUAAAGGGAGCGUAGGUGGUUCGGUAAGUCAGAUGUGAAAGCCCGGGGCUCAACCCCGGGACUGCAUUUGAAACUAUCGAACUAGAGUGUAGGAGAGGUAAGUGGAAUUCCUAGUGUAGCGGUGAAAUGCGUAGAUAUUAGGAGGAACACCAGUGGCGAAGGCGGCUUUCUGGACUGUAACUGACACUGAGGCACGAAAGCGUGGGGAGCAAACAGG
RNAcentral lists this ribosomal RNA (401 nucleotides) under uncultured bacterium. RNAcentral describes it as "partial 16S ribosomal RNA". It matches the Rfam family "Bacterial small subunit ribosomal RNA", at positions 359 to 776 of the family's 1533-position model. The record is from RNAcentral.